Molecule: ribosomal RNA, 505 nt
Filed under: uncultured bacterium
Lineage: Bacteria
Description: partial 16S ribosomal RNA
Rfam family: Bacterial small subunit ribosomal RNA
Source: RNAcentral
GACGAACGCUGGCGGCGUGCCUAAUACAUGCAAGUAGAACGCACAGUUUAUACCGUAGCUUGCUACACCAUAGACUGUGAGUUGCGAACGGGUGAGUAACGCGUAGGUAACCUGCCUGGUAGCGGGGGAUAACUAUUGGAAACGAUAGCUAAUACCGCAUAAUAUUAAUUAUUGCAUGAUAAUUAAUUGAAAGGUGCAAUUGCACCACUACCAGAUGGACCUGCGUUGUAUUAGCUAGUAGGGGAGGUAACGGCCCACCUAGGCGACGAUACAUAGCCGACCUGAGAGGGUGGUCGGCCACACUGGGACUGAGACACGGCCCAGACUCCUACGGGAGGCAGCAGUAGGGAAUCUUCGGCAAUGGACGAAAGUCUUACCGAGCAACGCCGCGGGAGUGAAGAAGGUUUUCGGAUCGUAAAGCUCUGUUGUAAGAGAAGAACGGGUGUGAGAGUGGAAAGUUCACACUGUGACGGUAUCUUACCAGAAAGGGACGGCUAACUACGUG